RNAcentral lists this long non-coding RNA (725 nucleotides) under Crocodylus porosus (Australian saltwater crocodile). RNAcentral's name for it is "lncRNA (ENSCPRG00005003749.1)". The record is from RNAcentral. Lineage: Eukaryota; Metazoa; Chordata; Crocodylia; Crocodylidae.
CUGGCUACUGCAAUGGGGAGGUUGCAAGUCAUCUGUUUGAGAAUCCAGUGAGAGUUUCAGUUAACGGGUCACUGUUCACCAGCAACUCUACAACCAACUUAGUAGGACAUGUUUCUUCUAAUGAUGCCUUUGUCUACCUGCACCUCCAUGCCAUCUGUGGCAUCCAGCACAGCAUGGAGAUUGGCUUCAAGCAUUCCUUGCCUCAGCUUGAGUCUCUGGGCAUUGCCCAGGAGAACCAAGUGAAGAUAUCAGCUUUGAGAGGAGAUACAUAUAAGGGCCUGCUGAAUAUUGCCUUUGGAUCAUGCUCCCUCAAAACAGAUGGAGAAGUGAAACCAGGAAAUAAUGAAACAGAUACAGAAUGGAUGUUUACUUUGAUGAAUAAAUGCAUUACCUUGGAGAAAGUGGGAUUACCCCAAACCCUAGUCACUGAGGGCUCAUUCAUGGUGAAUACCUACAAUGUCAGCUUGACCGUAAACCUCCAGUGUGACAGCAAAACAGCUUAUGCACAAGUGGAGAGCUCCUAUGGACAGAAGUACACGCUCGGAGGAAUUCUGAGGCAUUCAGUUGACUGGCUCAGUGACCUAGGGCUGCCUGCUGAAAACUCUGCUCAACUUUCUGUAGCCAAAGGCUCUAUGACGGAAGGCAUUUUAUCACUACAGAUUGGUGAAUGCAAGUUCAUGGCUAGAGGAGAUCUCCAGACCCAGAAUAAAACGGAAUGGACUCUG